Molecule: ribosomal RNA, 492 nt
Filed under: uncultured bacterium
Lineage: Bacteria
Description: partial 16S ribosomal RNA
Rfam family: Bacterial small subunit ribosomal RNA
Source: RNAcentral
AGUGAACGCUGGCGGUAGGCCUAACACAUGCAAGUCGAACGGCAGCACAGUAAGAGCUUGCUCUUACGGGUGGCGAGUGGCGGACGGGUGAGGAAUACAUCGGAAUCUACUUUUUCGUGGGGGAUAACGUAGGGAAACUUACGCUAAUACCGCAUACGGCCUACGGGUGAAAGCAGGGGAUCUUCGGACCUUGCGCGAUUGAAUGAGCCGAUGUCGGAUUAGCUAGUUGGCGGGGUAAAGGCCCACCAAGGCGACGAUCCGUAGCUGGUCUGAGAGGAUGAUCAGCCACACUGGAGCUGAGACACGGUCCAGACUCCUACGGGAGGCAGCAGUGGGGAAUAUUGGACAAUGGGCGCAAGCCUGAUCCAGCCAUACCGCGUGGGUGAAGAAGGCCUUCGGGUUGUAAAGCCCUUUUGUUGGGAAAGAAAAGCAGCAGGUUAAUACCCCGCUGUUCUGACGGUACCCAAAGAAUAAGCACCGGCUAACUUCGUG